GACGAACGCUGGCGGCGUGCUUAACACAUGCAAGUCGAACGCUGAAGCUCAGCUUUUGUUGGGUGGAUGAGUGGCGAACGGGUGAGUAACACGUGAGUAACCUGCCCCCUUCUUUGGGAUAACGCCCGGAAACGGGUGCUAAUACUGGAUAUUCACUGGUCUUCGCAUGGGGGUUGGUGGAAAGGGUUUUUCUGGUGGGGGAUGGGCUCGCGGCCUAUCAGCUUGUUGGUGGGGUGAUGGCCUACCAAGGCUUUGACGGGUAGCCGGCCUGAGAGGGUGACCGGUCACAUUGGGACUGAGAUACGGCCCAGACUCCUACGGGAGGCAGCAGUGGGGAAUAUUGCACAAUGGGCGAAAGCCUGAUGCAGCGACGCCGCGUGAGGGAUGGAGGCCUUCGGGUUGUGAACCUCUUUCGCUAAUGGUCAAGCCGCAACAAUGGUUGUGGUGAGGGUAGUGGAUAAAGAAGCGCCGGCUAACUACGUG
RNAcentral lists this ribosomal RNA (483 nucleotides) under uncultured bacterium. RNAcentral describes it as "partial 16S ribosomal RNA". It matches the Rfam family "Bacterial small subunit ribosomal RNA", at positions 28 to 507 of the family's 1533-position model. The record is from RNAcentral.